CCUACGGGAGGCAGCAGUGGGGAAUAUUGGACAAUGGGGGCAACCCUGAUCCAGCCAUGCCGCGUGUGUGAAGAAGGCCCUCGGGUUGUAAAGCACUUUCAGUGAGGAAGAACGCCUGGUGGUUAAUACCCAUCAGGAAAGACAUCACUCACAGAAGAAGUACCGGCUAACUCCGUGCCAGCAGCCGCGGUAAUACGGAGGGUGCGAGCGUUAAUCGGAAUUACUGGGCGUAAAGCGCGCGUAGGUGGCUUGAUAAGCCGGUUGUGAAAGCCCCGGGCUCAACCUGGGAACGGCAUCCGGAACUGUCAAGCUAGAGUGCAGGAGAGGAAGGUAGAAUUCCCGGUGUAGCGGUGAAAUGCGUAGAGAUCGGGAGGAAUACCAGUGGCGAAGGCGGCCUUCUGGACUGACACUGACACUGAGGUGCGAAAGCGUGGGUAGCAAACAGGAUUAGAUACCCCGGUAGUC
Molecule: ribosomal RNA, 465 nt
Filed under: Vreelandella stevensii
Lineage: Bacteria; Pseudomonadati; Pseudomonadota; Gammaproteobacteria; Oceanospirillales; Halomonadaceae
Description: partial 16S ribosomal RNA
Rfam family: Bacterial small subunit ribosomal RNA
Source: RNAcentral